GACGAACGCUGGCGGCGUGCCUAAUACAUGCAAGUCGAGCGCAGGAAACUGACGGAACUCUUCGGAGGGAAGGCAGUGGAAUGAGCGGCGGACGGGUGAGUAACACGUAAGGAACCUGCCUCAAGGAUUGGGAUAACUCCGAGAAAUCGGAGCUAAUACCGGAUAGUUCAACGGACCGCAUGGCCCGCUGAUGAAAGGCGCUUCGGCGUCACCUUGAGCUGGCCUUGCGGUGCAUUAGCUGGUUGGUGGGGUAACGGCCCACCAAGGCGACGAUGCAUAGCCGACCUGAGAGGGUGAUCGGCCACACUGGGACUGAGACACGGCCCAGACUCCUACGGGAGGCAGCAGUAGGGAAUCUUCCACAAUGGACGAAAGUCUGAUGGAGCAACGCCGCGUGAGUGAUGAAGGUUUUCGGAUCGUAAAACUCUGUUGUAAGGGAAGAACACGUACGAGAGGGAAUGCUCGUACCUUGACGGUACCUUACGAGAAAGCCACGGCUAACUACGUGCCAGCCGCCGCGGUAA
This 524-nucleotide ribosomal RNA is filed under the name uncultured bacterium. RNAcentral describes it as "partial 16S ribosomal RNA". It matches the Rfam family "Bacterial small subunit ribosomal RNA", at positions 28 to 523 of the family's 1533-position model. The record is from RNAcentral.